UGAGUAAUGCCUAGGAAUCUGCCUGGUAGUGGGGGACAACGUCUCGAAAGGGACGCUAAUACCGCAUACGUCCUACGGGAGAAAGCAGGGGACCUUCGGGCCUUGCGCUAUCAGAUGAGCCUAGGUCGGAUUAGCUAGUUGGUGAGGUAAUGGCUCACCAAGGCGACGAUCCGUAACUGGUCUGAGAGGAUGAUCAGUCACACUGGAACUGAGACACGGUCCAGACUCCUACGGGAGGCAGCAGUGGGGAAUAUUGGACAAUGGGCGAAAGCCUGAUCCAGCCAUGCCGCGUGUGUGAAGAAGGUCUUCGGAUUGUAAAGCACUUUAAGUUGGGAGGAAGGGUUGUAGAUUAAUACUCUGCAAUUUUGACGUUACCGACAGAAUAAGCACCGGCUAACUCUGUGCCAGCAGCCGC
This 415-nucleotide ribosomal RNA is filed under the name uncultured Pseudomonas sp. RNAcentral describes it as "bacterial SSU rRNA". It matches the Rfam family "Bacterial small subunit ribosomal RNA", at positions 107 to 518 of the family's 1533-position model. The record is from RNAcentral. Lineage: Bacteria; Pseudomonadati; Pseudomonadota; Gammaproteobacteria; Pseudomonadales; Pseudomonadaceae.